This 82-nucleotide transfer RNA is filed under the name Aminomonas paucivorans DSM 12260. It matches the Rfam family "tRNA". Rfam says of the family: Transfer RNA (tRNA) molecules are approximately 80 nucleotides in length. Their secondary structure includes four short double-helical elements and three loops (D, anti-codon, and T loops). Further hydrogen bonds mediate the characteristic L-shaped molecular structure. tRNAs have two regions of fundamental functional importance: the anti-codon, which is responsible for specific mRNA codon recognition, and the 3' end, to which the tRNAs corresponding amino acid is attached (by aminoacyl-tRNA synthetases). tRNAs cope with the degeneracy of the genetic code in two manners: having more than one tRNA (with a specific anti-codon) for a particular amino acid; and 'wobble' base-pairing, i.e. permitting non-standard base-pairing at the 3rd anti-codon position. The record is from Rfam by way of RNAcentral. Lineage: Bacteria; Thermotogati; Synergistota; Synergistia; Synergistales; Synergistaceae.
GCGAGAGUGGUGGAACUGGUAGACACGCGGGACUUAGGAUCCCGUGCCCCGUGGCGUGGGGGUUCGAUUCCCCCCUCUCGCA